UGCAGGCGUGGGCGGAACCGGGCCACCAGGAACGGAUGCAGGCGUGGCCGGAGCCGGGCCACCAGGAACCGAUGCAAGCGUGGCCGGAGCCGGGCCACCAGGAACCGAUGCAGGCGUGGCCGGAGCCGGGCCACCAGGAACCGAUGCUGGGACGACCUCCUUCUGGAGUCGACAGGAACCGAAGCCGGAACGACCCCCUCCUGGAGGCCGACAGGAACUGAAGCUGGAGCUGGAAGGACCUCCUCCCGGAGGCCGACAGGAACCGAAGCUGGAGCUGGAACGACCUCCUCCCGGAGGCCGACAGGAACCGAAGCUCGGACGACCUCCUCCCGGAGGCCGACAGGAACCGAAGCAGAAGCUGGAACAACCUCCUCCUGGAGGCAGACAGGAACCGGGACUGGAACGACCUCCUCCUGGUGGCCGACAGGAACCAAAGCUGGAACCACCUCCUCCUGGAGGCCGACAGGAACCGAAGCUGGGACGACCUCCUCCUGGAGGCUGACAGGAACCGAAGCUGGGACGACCUCCUCCUGGAGGCCGACAGGAACCAAAGCUGGGGCAACCUCCUCCUGGAGGCCGACAGGAACUGAAGCAGGAGCUGGAACGACCUCCUCCUGGAGGCCGACAGGAACUGGGGCUAGAACGACCCCCUCCUGGAGGCCACAGGAACCGAAGCUGGAACGACCUCCUCCUGGAGGCCGACAGGAACUAGAACGGCUUCCUCGCCAGAGCCGACAGGAACUAGAACGACGUCCUCGCCGGAGCCGACAGGAACUAGAAUGGCGUCCGCGGUGGAGCCGACAGGAACUAGAACGGCGUUCUCAGUGGAGCCGACAGGAACUAGAACAGCAUCCUUGCUGGAGCCGACAGGAACUACAACGGCGUCCUCGCUGGAGUCGACAGGAACUAGAACGGCCCCCGCCUGGAGGCCGACACGGACAGGAACGACCCCCGCCUGGAGGCCGACAGGAACUGCGGCCGGAUCGACCCAGUAGAUUCCAACAAGGACCAGACUGGUCUCUCCUUGACCAGCGGUGGGCAACACAACCGCUUCCAUUGGACCGACAGGGACAGGGACGUCGCUGCUACCAGGUUGGCAGGGCCGCUUGCGGCCUCCUCUCUGGAGCCGGCAGGACUGCUUGCGGUCCCUCUCUGGAGCCGGCAGGACUACUUACAGUCUCCUCACUGGAGCCAGCAGGACUGCUUGCGGUCUCCUCUCUGGAGCCAGCUGGGCUACUUACGACCUUUGAGCUUGACGGGAUGGGCGCCGAACCCGACUGGGCUAGAGCCAGUCUUGACCGGCGUGUUGUGCCACCUGGCUGGGGCAAGACUGGAGCGUGA
Molecule: long non-coding RNA, 1341 nt
Filed under: Betta splendens (Siamese fighting fish)
Lineage: Eukaryota; Metazoa; Chordata; Actinopteri; Anabantiformes; Osphronemidae
Description: lncRNA (ENSBSLG00000007110.1)
Source: RNAcentral